Molecule: long non-coding RNA, 450 nt
Filed under: Vulpes vulpes (red fox)
Lineage: Eukaryota; Metazoa; Chordata; Mammalia; Carnivora; Canidae
Description: lncRNA (ENSVVUG00000021646.1)
Source: RNAcentral
AUUACACCAAUCAUAGAGGAUGGCUCUUCUGGAGGGUACCUGAUUAGUGAUUUUCAUGGUUAAUAUUUUACUGCAGCAUAGCUUUGCAUUACCUUGGCCUAUACAUGUGCCAUUUCUAAUUGUUUGUAUAUAACAGUCCAGAGUUUUGUUUUUGGAAAGCCUGUGAAACUAAAAACAAGCUCAGAGGAAAGAGUACAUGAUCAGUUUGGUGUCUACAUUGAACAAGAGGGAAGAGUGUCCUCCAUGUAUCUGCCGACUGUGAGAUCCUGGCCUAGUGCUAUCCUAUAUAACUUCUGAACCAUCAUGUAUCAGAAGAUAACAUUAAGGGAGAUAUCUUCAUAUCUGAAUUGUGAGACUUGAAAAAUCCUGCCUAAGAGUAGCUGGGAAAUCUGGAGGUACUAAGAAACACUGUAUCUAUCUAUACUUGGGGGUUGAAGGGCAGCCCUACCA